GACGAACGCUGGCGGCGUGCUUAACACAUGCAAAUCGAACGGUAAGGCCCUUCGGGGUACACGAGUGGCGAACGGGUGAGUAACACGUGGGUGAUCUGCCCUGCACUUCGGGAUAAGCCUGGGAAACUGGGUCUAAUACCGGAUAGGACCACUGCCUGCAUGGGUGGUGGUGGAAAGCUUUUGCGGUGUGGGAUGGGCCCGCGGCCUAUCAGCUUGUUGGUGGGGUGAUGGCCUACCAAGGCGACGACGGGUAGCCGGCCUGGGAGGGUGACCGGCCACACUGGGACUGAGAUACGGCCCAGACUCCUACGGGAGGCAGCAGUGGGGAAUAUUGCACAAUGGGCGCAAGCCUGAUGCAGUGACGCCGCGUGAGGGAUGACGGCCUUCGGGUUGUAAACCUCUUUCAGCACCGACGAAGCGCAAGUGACGGUAGGUGCAGAAGAAGGACCGGCCAACUACGUGCCAGCCGCCGCCGUAA
RNAcentral lists this ribosomal RNA (478 nucleotides) under uncultured bacterium. RNAcentral's name for it is "partial 16S ribosomal RNA". It matches the Rfam family "Bacterial small subunit ribosomal RNA", at positions 28 to 523 of the family's 1533-position model. The record is from RNAcentral.